CAUGUAUACUUCUCCGGAAAGGGCAGGAAGCUCAGGAAAUGGUGGCUCAAUCCCCCAAAGGGUACUAGCCAUUUCAUUUGGAAUAGAAAAACAUCACAGAAACAAAGAAGAAAUCAGUGACUGGAAAUGUGCAAAGAAAGAAAGAAAGAAAGAAAGAAAGAAAGAAAGAAAGAAAGAAAAAGAAAGAAAGAAAGAAAGAAAGAAAAAAGAAAAAAGAGAAAGAAAAAAGAAAGAGGGAAAGAAAGGAGUGGAGAUAUGAAUGAUAACUUUAGAAGUUCUAGUAAUCAUUAAAAUGAGUGGUAGAUAGAGAAUAUUGAGAGAAUAAAAGUAAUAUUGAGAUGGAGAAAUGAUGAGCAAUUACCAAAAACUGAGAAAUUGUUCCUCUGAUAAAGAAUUGCCCAAAUCCUGAGAAGGGUGUAUUCAAAGCAUAUGCAUAGACAAACCCUUAGCUACACAGCAGAGAAAUAUUAAAGAAUGAAAAGUUCUAAAAGCUUCCAUAGGGAAAACAUUAUGUACAAAGGAAUGAGUAUUACCGAUACUUCUUAGCAUCAACAUCAGGUUCAAAAAGACAGUGGCAUGUUAUUUCCAAAAUGUUGAAGAAAAAUACUUCUGGUGUUCUUAAAUCAAGACUUGUAAAACUCUUUGUGCCAGUACAUCUUAAUUGUGAACAUGACUGGAUUAAAAGAUUCCUGGAAAGAUGAUUGGAUCAUGAGAGUAUUACAUUCGUCAGUGCAUUAACUCACUGAUCUUCAUAGCUGAACGUGGUGUUAGGAGGUAGGUCCCAGUUGGGAGGAGGUAAGUCACUAGGGGUGUGUCUUUGGAGGAUGUGUCUCUUGCUAGUGCUUUUCCUCUGUUCUUUACUUCUUGGCCAGUAGAAAGUGAGCAGCUUUGGUCCACUACGCCCUUCUGCCAUGAUAUUCCUGCUUUGGAGUCAGCUAACUGUGGACUAAAAUCUCUGAAAUCAUAAGCCAAAUAAGUCAUUUCCUCAUUUAGUUUGUGUAUGUCACACCUGAUGUCCCGACAAUAGAAUACUGGCUAAUGUACAAGUCAAAUUAUCUAACAAAUGUGAGGGUGAGAUAUAAAUACUCUUGCUCAUAGAUGGAUGUAUUGGGGUCACCACAAUAAGC
This 1127-nucleotide long non-coding RNA is filed under the name Chinchilla lanigera (long-tailed chinchilla). RNAcentral's name for it is "lncRNA (ENSCLAG00000023408.1)". The record is from RNAcentral. Lineage: Eukaryota; Metazoa; Chordata; Mammalia; Rodentia; Chinchillidae.